Molecule: long non-coding RNA, 420 nt
Organism: Chinchilla lanigera (long-tailed chinchilla)
Lineage: Eukaryota; Metazoa; Chordata; Mammalia; Rodentia; Chinchillidae
Exons: 2
Source: RefSeq, a predicted model, not a curated record
GGAUCAUUGUCAAGCAAGAGUGGGGGAGAUUUUCCAACUUCUCAAUAACCUCAUGAGUUGAUCUUACAGGAAGGUGUUUGACUUGGAUGUAUAAGGUCACCUUAUGAAGAGGUCACAUGAGAAGAUGGCAGCCACUGGGAACAGCUAUGAAAGGAAAUCAUGGGAAUCACAGCUUCUAGUUCCAGUCAAGCCUUCAAGUCUCUAAAGUCCCACCUAACAUCUUAAUUACAACUUUAUGAGAGACCCUGAGCCAAAAGCACACAGGGAUGCUGCUCCUGAAAUUCCUGUAAGUGUGUGAGACAAUAAAAGCUUAUUGUUGUUUUAAGCCACUAAGUUUUAGAAUAACUUGCUGUACACCAAAGGAUAACUCAUAGCUGUCAUACUGAAUAAAAAGAACAAGUGAAUCUCUUUGGUCUCUGA